This 216-nucleotide long non-coding RNA is filed under the name Elaeis guineensis (African oil palm). Its description in RNAcentral is "long non-coding RNA (EGUI_LNC031596)". Lineage: Eukaryota; Viridiplantae; Streptophyta; Magnoliopsida; Arecales; Arecaceae. The record is from RNAcentral.
GACUUAUGCACCGACUUGACAAAUACUUGACUAUACCCAAAAAUCUUCCAUCAUUGAAUUAAAAACUUAGUUAGUCUAACACCAAAGUACAGUGAGUUGCUUGCAAAUCACUGUGAUUAUCUCAGAUCGGAGGGACACUUAUAUCCAUAUCCUUCGCGAGCUACCCUUGACAGCAGAGUAUUCCACAGUUGGUCAUGUUCAGUGAUGAUGUACUCC